This 530-nucleotide long non-coding RNA is filed under the name Mytilus galloprovincialis (Mediterranean mussel). The record is from RNAcentral. Lineage: Eukaryota; Metazoa; Mollusca; Bivalvia; Mytilida; Mytilidae.
UUUUAAUUGUGUAGAAAGAUAGUACUAUGAUGUUAUAUGGUCUAUUUAAUGAAACAUGCUUGGUAUAAUUGGUUUUUAUUGUGUAGAAAGAUAGUACUAUGAUGUAAGAUGGUCUAUCCAAUGAAACAUGCUUGGUAUAAUUGGUUUUUAUUGUGUAGUAAGAUAGUACUAUGAUGUUAGAUGGUCUAUCUAAUGAAACAUGCUUGGUAUAAUUGGUUUUUAUUGUGUAGAAAGAUAGUACUAUGAUGUUAGAUGGUCUAUCUAAUAAAACAUGCUUGGUAUAAUUGGUUUUUAUUGCGUAGAAAGAUAGUACUAUGAUGUUAGAUGGGGUAUCUAAUGAAAAAUGCUUGGUAUAAUUGGUUUUUAUUGCGUAGAAAGAUAGUACUAUGAUGUUAGAUGGUCUAUCUAAUGAAACAUGCUUGGUAUAAUUGGUUUUUAUUGUGUAGAAAGAUAGUAAUAUGAUGUUAGAUGGUCUAUCUAAUGAAACAUGCUUGGUAUAAUUGGUUUUUAUUGUGUAGUAAGAUAGUACU